GACCAUCCAGCCUCAUCCAGACAUAGAGCGACAGACUAGAGAAAGGAGUCUUUCUGGAACAACAGGUGCUUAAUAAACAGCAAGUUCUCUUCUCAUCCUCAAGCAAGCUGAAGAAAUGAGGAAUAGAAAGGAGAGU
RNAcentral lists this long non-coding RNA (136 nucleotides) under Ictidomys tridecemlineatus (thirteen-lined ground squirrel). RNAcentral's name for it is "lncRNA (ENSSTOG00000033552.1)". The record is from RNAcentral. Lineage: Eukaryota; Metazoa; Chordata; Mammalia; Rodentia; Sciuridae.